Molecule: ribosomal RNA, 301 nt
Filed under: uncultured bacterium
Lineage: Bacteria
Description: partial 16S ribosomal RNA
Rfam family: Bacterial small subunit ribosomal RNA
Source: RNAcentral
CAGUAGCCGCGGUAAUACGUAGGGUGCGAGCGUUAAUCGGAGUUACUGGGCGUAAAGCGUGCGCAGGCGGUUCGUUAAGACAGAUGUGAAAUCCCCGGGCUUAACCUGGGAACUGCAUUUGUGACUGGCGAGCUAGAGUAUGGCAGAGGGGGGUAGAAUUCCACGUGUAGCAGUGAAAUGCGUAGAGAUGUGGAGGAAUACCGAUGGCGAAGGCAGCCCCCUGGGCCAAUACUGACGCUCAUGCACGAAAGCGUGGGGAGCAAACAGGAUUAGAGACCCCAGUAGUCCCUGUCUCUUAUAC